GACGAACGCUGGCGGCGUGCUUAACACAUGCAAGUCGAACGGAAAGGCCCUGCUUGCAGGGUACUCGAGUGGCGAACGGGUGAGUAACACGUGGGUGAUCUGCCCUGCACUUCGGGAUAAGCCUGGGAAACUGGGUCUAAUACCGGAUAGGAGCCAUUUUUAGUGUGAUGGUUGGAAAGUUUUUUCGGUGUAGGAUGAGCUCGCGGCCUAUCAGCUUGUUGGUGGGGUAAUGGCCUACCAAGGCGGCGACGGGUAGCCGGCCUGAGAGGGUGGACGGCCACAUUGGGACUGAGGUACGGCCCAGACUCCUACGGGAGGCAGCAGUGGGGAAUAUUGCACAAUGGGCGCAAGCCUGAUGCAGCGACGCCGCGUGGGGGAUGACGGCCUUCGGGUUGUAAAAUCCUUUCGCUAGGGACGAAGCUUUUUGUGACGGUACCUAGAUAAGAAGCACCGGCUAACUACGUG
RNAcentral lists this ribosomal RNA (465 nucleotides) under uncultured bacterium. RNAcentral's name for it is "partial 16S ribosomal RNA". It matches the Rfam family "Bacterial small subunit ribosomal RNA", at positions 28 to 507 of the family's 1533-position model. The record is from RNAcentral.